AGCUGGUCCAAGUGCAGUGGUGUUUACAACUAAUUGAUCACAACCAGUUACAGAUUUCUUUGUUCCUUCUCUCCACUCCCACUGCUUCACUUGACUAGCCUUAA
Molecule: Y RNA, 104 nt
Organism: Callithrix jacchus (white-tufted-ear marmoset)
Lineage: Eukaryota; Metazoa; Chordata; Mammalia; Primates; Cebidae
Rfam family: Y RNA
About the family: Y RNAs are components of the Ro ribonucleoprotein particle (Ro RNP), in association with Ro60 and La proteins. The Y RNAs and Ro60 and La proteins are well conserved, but the function of the Ro RNP is not known.
Source: Ensembl